UGUAACGUAACCUGGAUCUCCUCUUCCAUGACAUAGACCUUGUGAACGUGGUGAUAUGUGCUUGUUAAGAAAGACCUUUCUGACAAGGAGACACCUGAACAAGCCCCUCAGCCCAAAUCUCUUGACUGACAGCCUCCUCCAUCUCAGGCAGUGGACACUCGAGUACUACAGGCACAGAAGAAGAGCAAGAAGGUAAGCUUUGCUGAAGCUCAGUGCACAUUUUCAGAAUCAUAAACUCUGCAUUCUGUAUAUUUAUUUGCAAAAUCUGGCAAGCUUACUUGGAGGUUUGCAGUGCAGUAAGGGCCUUGACUUGUACUUUGAGUGAGCAAGAAAGCUAUGGAAGCAUUUUUAGCAUCCCGUUUUGAAAGAUCAUUCUGCAUGUCCUGUUGAAAGUAGUUAAUAGGUGGUGAAGAACAGAACCAGGAAAGAAAAUGAGGAAACACAGAAUGACGGCUAAGUUUACCUACGUUUUAGUGUCCAUUUUGCAAAGGGAAGCGACAAGAUUUGAUGUUGGUUUGGCUAUGGAGUUAUGGGAAAAUAAAUCGAGGGGUCAAGGAUGGUGUCAGUUAUUUUGUUGGAACAGUUAGCUGGCAGAGUUUCCCUCAUCUCCCCCUAAGCAUUCUGCAGACCUUUUGCUCCAGGGCUGGAAGACUUUGUUCAUCUCCCUCUCUCUCUCCUUCUCAAAACCUUACAGUGUGGAUCUAGGCACAUUCCUGUAUAGAUUGCAAAAGUAGCGGAAAAUUGGCCUGGCUGUUAUAAGAUGAUUGGUGAACUGGAAAGGGUUAAUGGUUAAUUCUGUAGAUAUUCUCUCUUUCUCUGUAUCUGUCUAUAUAUGUACCUAUGAAAAUACAUAUCUGCUUAUCUAUUGGUAUAGUUACUUUUGUCCUACUUUUUUCCAAAAGUGGUUUCCUUAUCUUUAGGAGGAUGGUUGAGUUUAUCUAAAAAUGAAUAUAAAAAUCCUAUCUAAAUAUCUUUAUGCCAGAUAUAUUAACUCCAAAAAUUACCGUAACUAAUAUGUUUGUUUAAAAAUACUAUUUUUUUUUUGUAUAAGUAGUGGCUGGAGUCAUUUAGACAGCUCUUUGAAGUAUGUAUAUUAAAACGUUUGCAAUAUGCUCACAUUCUAGAAAUGCAUAUUUAUCCAAAGUAUUUAUGGAAGAUUAUAAAAUGCCUGCCAUUGAAAUAUCUUCCAAGUGACAUUUUAUACUUAAAUUAAAAGAAAAAUCAGCGUGGGUAUUUGACACUUAAUUACUAUAUAUGGAUCUUCAGAUUGGAAACAAGCUUGAAUACAAUUAUUAGUAUUACCGACAGCAAUUCAAAGGUUGAUUUCAAAUGAAAAACAGUGAUAAGUGAUUGCCUUCUCAGGAGAAAAGGAGAAAGAAGUAGCUGAGCAAGAUUAAGUAUCUAAGGGCUGAUGGACUUGGGUUCUGAAGCCCAAUAACUCUCUGCAGGUCCCUCUUCAGUGAAGCUGUGUCUUGCUCAUCACUUUGAGGGAAAACUCAUAGUUAUCAGGCACCACAUCUAUGUAUCUUUGUGAGGGUUUUGUUCUAAAAGUGCCUUGAAAUGACAGAUAAGACAGUCUCUUCAGGGGGGUGAGUAUAUUUGAGUAGGGGAGUGUAAGAUCUUUGUUUUAGAGGUCUUGGGUGGGAGGGAGGCGUUGGAAGAUGCUGUUUUUAUUGAACAUUUUCUUUAUGUAAAUAAAGAGAUGAUGUUACUUGUUGGGGCAGUUAAAACACACACACACACACACACACACACACACACACACACACACACACACACACUACAUCCUGCCCUUUGGGGAGCCUGCUCAAGCUGUGCCAGAGGGUGGAAGAACACUUCCAAUGUGGCUGAUACAGGAGUGUGGAGAAUCAGUCAUGCUUUGUCUCCUUCAAGGCGCCUGGAAAGGGGAGGGAGAAAAACAGAAGGGGAAGGAAAUGAGCAGACCUUGGAUUAUGAAGAAAAAUAGAUAGCAGGCAAAGGUUUCAAGGGGACAAGUCCCUUUGUGCUGGUUGGCUAAUAUGCCCUUGACCGUUAUCCAGUAUUUAACUUUAUGGGUAUACAUGCUGGUACCUAUAAAAUUAACUGGUAUCACAAAUUUCAUUUGGUGGCAGGGGUGGGGGAUUGUGCUGUAUUUGAACUAGAAGUGAAAUUUCUUUUGAAAGGUAAAUCUCAAAAGAGAAGAUUUUUAUUUUACCUAUUUCUUUACAUGUUUAUAUACGUACACCUUGCUUUUACUGCAAACCACAUAUGCCAGGUAAUAUUUCAGGCACUGUGCAUGCAGGGUUCAGUUAAUUUUCACAACAAUCUUAAUGUGGAAGUCAGAGCUAUCUUUGUACAUUUACUUAUGAAGAAGCAGAACUCCAGAGAAGUUUAAAACUUUAUCAAAGUUUACAUGACUAGUAAGUAGGAUGUGAGAUUAAACUUGGGACUGCCUGACUCUUAAGACUUAAGCAAAUUCUAAAAGGCUGUACUGCCUUUUGAAUGCUCUGUACAUUAUUUGUACUUUGUACAAAAUGACCAUAUAAUUUGUAUUUCCAACUGAGAUAUUUUUGUCUGGGACAAAUACUAAAUAGGACAACAGAUGUGAACUAAGACUGUUCCAGAAAAAUUGGGACAUGCAGCUACCCUAGCUAUAUAUCAUGAAUGUGUUAUUGAGAGAGAGCAUAUAAUACACCUACCUGUAGGGUUCUUCUUGAAAAUCUGAACUAUUACCUAAUCUGCAUUUAUAAAAUGUAGUCUUGCAUCCAAUUUUCAGGAAUUAUUCAUCACAAAUGGUUGAUUUCCUGCCUUUGCUCAGAUUUGUGUAAGUGACUCAAUUAUAAUCAAGAAACAGCAGAGCAGGCAAUGUAACCAUGCAAUCAUCAAUAUGGAUCUCAUGCUCUGAUGGGACGCUUCUCUGAUAUUAACUGAAAGCUGAAAGGACAGAGAGUAAAUGAAGAAUUUGCACUUUGCCAUUUCCGAAAAACUAGAAGUGCAUAUUCUUCAUUUCACUGGGUCAGUUCCCCAAAUUUGAUAUCUUGGCACAUCUAGGUAUUUUGUGUGGAAUAUCAGUGUGUAAAUAAAAAAAUUAGUCACUCAUAGAGUACAUUGCAAUGAUAAAUAUUUUAAUACAUGUGGGAAUUAAGGCUCAUCAAUAGUAAAAAUUGGUCAUUGGCAAAUAGAUCUUCCUCUAAUCUCCUUUUGGUGGCAUUUUACAGAAGAGCUGAGAGAGCUCUGAUUGCCUAGCAUCAAUUCCUAGACUUCUGCCUUCCUGUUGGGCCUUGAGAACAUCAUUUGUACUCUCUGGACUUUGUUAGAAUAAGGCAUUCAUUCAGUAAGGAAGAGGGUACAAUCUAGGAAACAGACUGUCUGGACUGCUCUGAUUCCAGGUGCCCUUAUCGAGGGCAUCACAAGAGCAAGGGUUUUUCCAGUCCAUGGUUUCUUUCACAUCAAGAUACCUACCAGUUGAAACAGACACAGCAGUGUAAGUACAAUUGCACGAUUCGUUAGGUAUAAUGAUUGGAACAGAGCCAGCAACAUUUUGCAAGGGAUUGGCAAAUACAUAGGCUUUGAUUUCCAAAUGAUACAAUCUCCUCAAAAGGUUUGUACUUUGAAGUGGAGUAAAGGGAAGAAAGUCUUUCUAGCCAAAAUCAAUCUGCCUUGAGUCCCACCAACAUCUGUGCCAAAACUAGAUUCAUUGAACUCCUUUGCACCAACCAUGCCACACCACUGUAGGAAAUGGUCUGUAAGCACCUUUGUACCUUAUAGGCUUUUCUUCAGUGGCAGCUUUUAAUAACCUUAGGAUCAAUUCUUGUUGGUUGGUGUUAAAAUCAUUCUAGUUUUUCUCAAUCCAUAGGCUGAUACGCUCUUUUGAUACACUCUUCUUUUUCUUAGAUACCUUAAAAAAAAACUCUCAUUCUUUCUAAAACAACCUAGGACCACUUUGAAUAUUUUUUUUUUUCCUAUUUGUGGGAUGCUUACCUGAAAGAAGGUGAUAGUCCCAAGAUCUUUCUGGUCAGAGGAUUAAAAACCCAGAAAGAUUAAUUGCUUUGCCUGUAGGAACCCAGUGAUGGAUGGUGGGUUGGAAUUGGAUCACAUGUCAGGAAGUAGGUCAUUCCAAAAAAGUUUUUGUUUGUUUGUCUGUUUCCUACCAUACCACGAUAUCUCUAGGUGCUGAAUGCAAACCCCACAAAGGCAAGAAUUUUGUCUGAUUCCUUUUUGGCUAUAUUCUUAGGACUAGAAAACACUGGGGCAUCUGUAAGUCCUCAAUAAGUUAUUUGUUAAAACUGAAGCAAUUUCACACUGUUAGUCAAAAGAGGGAUGCAAACACUCAGAUCACAAAUAAGAAUAUAUUGAAGCCAAAUGUUAGGAAAAUAAUAUAAGCCCAAGAAUAAAUUCCUUUUUUUUAAUAUUAGCCUAAGGUUGAAUGCAUUUUUUUCUGGCUACAUGUUUGUACAUUUUUGCAUAUAUUUCAUAAAACAUAUACUAUGAAAAGAUUGCAGUCUCUAAGCAACUUUCAAAAGGAAUCCAUCCUGUAAUGAAAUGUAGAGGCAAUUUACAAUUUUGUAGUUUUGUGUUUUUGGGAGAAAAAAAAAAA
RNAcentral lists this long non-coding RNA (4576 nucleotides) under Sus scrofa (pig). RNAcentral describes it as "lncRNA (ENSSSCG00055002832.1)". The record is from RNAcentral. Lineage: Eukaryota; Metazoa; Chordata; Mammalia; Artiodactyla; Suidae.